This 440-nucleotide ribosomal RNA is filed under the name uncultured bacterium. RNAcentral describes it as "partial 16S ribosomal RNA". It matches the Rfam family "Bacterial small subunit ribosomal RNA", at positions 338 to 795 of the family's 1533-position model. The record is from RNAcentral.
CCUACGGGUGGCAGCAGUGGGGAAUAUUGCACAAUGGGGGAAACCCUGAUGCAGCGACGCCACGUGAGCGAAGAAGUAUUUCGGUAUGUAAAGCUCUAUCAGCAGGGAAGAAAAUGACGGUACCUGAGUAAGAAGCUCCGGCUAAAUACGUGCCAGCAGCCGCGGUAAUACGUAGGGAGAAAGCGUUAUCCGGAUUUACUGGGCGGAAAGGGAGCGUAGGCGGCCUGCCAAGUCUGAUGUGAAAUACCGGGGCGCCACCCCGGGGCUGCAUUGGAAACUGGCAGGCUGGAGUGACGGAGAGGCAGGCGGAAUUCCUAGUGUAGCGGUGCAAUGCGUAGAUAUUAGGAGGAACACCAGUGGCGAAGGCGGCCUGCUGGACGGUGACUGACGCUGAGGCUCGAAAGCGUGGGGAGCAAACAGGAUUAGAUACCCGAGUAGUC